Molecule: small nucleolar RNA, 138 nt
Organism: Ornithorhynchus anatinus (platypus)
Lineage: Eukaryota; Metazoa; Chordata; Mammalia; Monotremata; Ornithorhynchidae
Source: RefSeq, a predicted model, not a curated record
UGCCUCUUACUACUGCCUCUGGAGAGUAUCCAGUAUUCUACCAGUCUUGGGUAUGGGUGGGAGAGUCAAGCAGAGGAAUAUCCAUUCCAUUCCUAGUGUGGGCAGUGGCUAGCGAGUGGAAGGCAAUCUGCUAAAAGG